CGACUGAUCUGAAUCUUUUCUUCAAAUCUCUGAAACUUUUUCAAAGAUUGAAGAUGGACUUCUAGAGAAGAUGAAAAGAUGAAAGAAAGAUAAAGAAGAAAAUAAAUUUUUUCUAAUUUAUUUUCUUUUCCCAAACCCUUAGAACCAAAAAUCUGAAAUUUAGAUUUUUGGGCACAUCCCAAAAAAAAGGACCCUCCUCUUUAUUUUUCACAUCAUGAACCAUGUCCAAACUUCUACCACAUGAAGAGCUCUCUUCUA
This 258-nucleotide long non-coding RNA is filed under the name Elaeis guineensis (African oil palm). RNAcentral's name for it is "long non-coding RNA (EGUI_LNC001383)". Lineage: Eukaryota; Viridiplantae; Streptophyta; Magnoliopsida; Arecales; Arecaceae. The record is from RNAcentral.